AAAUUGAAGAGUUUGAUCAUGGCUCAGAUUGAACGCUGGCGGCAGGCCUAACACAUGCAAGUCGAACGGUAACAGGAAGCAGCUUGCUGCUUUGCUGACGAGUGGCGGACGGGUGAGUAAUGUCUGGGAAACUGCCUGAUGGAGGGGGAUAACUACUGGAAACGGUAGCUAAUACCGCAUAACGUCGCAAGACCAAAGAGGGGGACCUUCGGGCCUCUUGCCAUCGGAUGUGCCCAGAUGGGAUUAGCUAGUAGGUGGGGUAACGGCUCACCUAGGCGACGAUCCCUAGCUGGUCUGAGAGGAUGACCAGCCACACUGGAACUGAGACACGGUCCAGACUCCUACGGGAGGCAGCAGUGGGGAAUAUUGCACAAUGGGCGCAAGCCUGAUGCAGCCAUGCCGCGUGUAUGAAGAAGGCCUUCGGGUUGUAAAGUACUUUCAGCGGGGAGGAAGGCGAUAAGGUUAA
RNAcentral lists this ribosomal RNA (466 nucleotides) under Enterobacter hormaechei. Its description in RNAcentral is "bacterial SSU rRNA". It matches the Rfam family "Bacterial small subunit ribosomal RNA", at positions 1 to 463 of the family's 1533-position model. The record is from RNAcentral. Lineage: Bacteria; Pseudomonadati; Pseudomonadota; Gammaproteobacteria; Enterobacterales; Enterobacteriaceae.